Molecule: ribosomal RNA, 370 nt
Filed under: uncultured eukaryote
Lineage: Eukaryota
Description: partial 18S ribosomal RNA
Rfam family: Eukaryotic small subunit ribosomal RNA
Source: RNAcentral
CAAUAGCGUAUAUUAAAGUUGUUGCAGUUAAAAAGCUCGUAGUUGGACCUUGGACCUGGACAGGCGGUCCGCCUCACGGCGUGUACUGUCUUGCUGGGUCUUUCCUCUUGGUGAUCUGUUGUUUCGGCAGCAGGGAACCAGGACUUUUACUUUGAAAAAAUUAGAGUGUUCAAAGCAGGCUCGACGCCGGAAUAUAUUAGCAUGGAAUAAUAAAAUAGGACGUGCGGUUCUAUUUUGUUGGUUUUUGGAAUCGCCGUAAUGAUUAAUAGGGACAGUCGGGGGCAUUAGUACUCACAUGCUAGAGGUGAAAUUCUUGGAUUCUGUGAAGACUAACUUCUGCGAAAGCAUUUGCCAAGGAUGUUUUCAUUAA